UCUUAGCGGGUAGAGGGUGGGAUGGGAGCCUGCAGACUUCAUUCGGGCUGGGUGGCAGGUUUGGAGAACGCAGGCUGCACUAGGGUGGCAUGUCCCCAGCAGCGCUGAAGGCAUGGGUGGCGUCGGGCGGGGCGGCGCGCAGGUGUGCCAGGGAGGAGGUGCCGCACCCUGCCAGGACUCCUGCUGCCGCCUCAGACCCGCGAGCUACUCGGGGACACCGAGCAGGCAGACCGGGCGGACCCCGCAGGAAGCGCGGGGCGCACGCGGGGCGAGGGAACGGUCCUCUCGGCUUUCCGGGUGGUCGCAGUCAUGCCAGGCCUGUGGAGAGCAAUUGCCCUGGAGACCUUGCUGGGCUACGUCUCCUGGUCUCUCUACCACGGACUGAGCCCCAUGAUCUAUUAUUUUCCCCUGCAAACGCUGGAGCUCACAGGGCUGGAAUUCUUUUGUGUAGCCUUUCUCUCUCCGAUACUCUUAACAAUUCCCCCACUCUGGAAACUCGUCAAUAAGAAGUGGACACUCUCUCUGCUGAGGAUCGUCACUGUAGGCAGCAUAGCUUCCUUUGAGGCUCCAAAUGCUAAGCUUCGACUGAUGGUCCUCGCCCUUGGUGUGUCUUCUUCCCUGAUAGUGCAAACUGUGACCUGGUGGUCAGGAAGUGGAUUGCAAAGGUACCUCAAAAUCUGGGGAUUCAUUCUGGGACACGUCCUUCUUCUUGUCCUCCGAAUAUGGUACACAUCAUUAAACCCAAUUUGGAGCUAUCAGAUGUCCAACAGAGUAAUUCUGACAUUGAGUGCCGUAGCUGUGCUUGACCGAAUUGGCACAGAUGGUGACUACAGAAACCCUGAGGGGAAGAAGCCCCGUGAGGUUGCCACGGGCAGGACCUCUCUAUCUAGUUGGCUGUUGCCAGGCGCCGCCUUUGGGAGCCUCCUGUUCCUAACUCACUGGAUCUUCGGAGAGGUCUCCAUUGUUUCCAGAUGGGCAGUCAGUGGUCAUCCCCACCCAGGGCCAGAUCCUAAUCCUUUUGGAGGUGCGGUUCUACUGGGCUUCUCAAGUGGACUGAUGCUAUCGGGUUCAUCAUGGCUUCAUGAUGCUGGGUUAGCCUGGUGGAUGACAGGAGCAGCUUCGGCCAUGGGUCUCCUCUACCUGCGCACAUGGGCAGCUGCUGUUUCUGGAUGUGUCCUGGCAGUCUUUACGGGGUCUAUGUGGCCUCAAGUACUUGGCCAUCUUGUGAACUCAGGGAAAAACUCCGGAGAAGCCAUGGCCACUGGCAUGAUCCUUUAUGUUUUACAAACAUUUUUCUGUGCCUGGUGCACAGCGUUUAAGUUUGUUCCCGGAGGUGUCUACGCUAGAGAAAGAUCUGAUGUGCUUUUGGGUGGGUCUACUCUGUCGGGCUCUGCUCUCUCCCGAGUCCUGCUUUUUUCUUAUUCCAGCUUGCUCAGGGUGCUGACAGGAGGACCAUAAUGGUAAUUAUUGGAUUGAGUAUGCUGUUUGGACCUAAGAAAAACCUUGACUUUCUUCUUCAAACAAAAAACAGUCCUAAAACGCUUUUGAGAUGCAGUGAAAAAUACAUGAAACUCAUUCUGUGGCUGUUUGUUGGUGUGGGGUUACUGGGAUUAGGGCUACGGCACAGAACCUACGAGAGGCAGUUAGGCCGAGGGGCACCAGCAACAGUGGUCUCUGCUGCCAUCUGGCCUUUUAGGUUUGGAUAUGACAAUGAAGGCUGGCCCAAUCUAGAGAGGUCUGCUCAACUGCUCAAGGAGACAGGUGCAGAUUUUAUCACCAUUUUGGAGAGCGAUGCUUCCAAGCCCUAUAUAGGGAACAACGACUUAACAAUGUGGCUGGGGGAGAAGCUGGGUUUCUACACAGACUUUGGGCCAAGCACCAGGGAUCACACCUGGGGGAUUAUGGUGCUGUCUCGGUACCCGAUUGUCAGAUCGGAACAUCACCUUCUUCCGUCGCCAGAGGGCGAGAUCGCACCAGCCAUAACCAUGACAGUUAACGUCUCCAACAGACUGGUGGAUUUUGUGGUGACACACUUUGGGAAUCAUGAAGAUGACCUUGACAGGAAGCUACAGGCUAUUGCAGUGUCAAAACUGCUGAAAAAUUGUUCAAAUCAAGUGAUAUUUCUGGGUUAUAUCACUUCAGAGCCCGGUUCCAGAGAUUACAUACAACUCACAAAACAUGGCAACGUGAAGGAUAUUGACAGCUCAGAUGGAGACAGAUGGUGUGAGUACAUCAUGUACCGGGGUCUGAUCAGGUUGGGCUAUGCAAGAAUCUCUCAUGCAGAACUGAGUGACUCUGAGAUUCAGAUGGCCAAAUUCAGGAUCCCGGAUGAUCCCGCCAAUUACAGAGACAACCAGAAAGUCGUCAUAGACCACCGAGGAGUUCCCAAGAACAUUCACUUCAACCCCAGAUUUGGCUCCUACAAAGAAGGACACAAUUAUGAGAACACCCAUCAUUUUCACAUGAAUACACCCAAAUACUUCGUUUGAACCCUUUUAGACAAAAUGUCACGGGGAAGCCAAAAGAAGAGUUUAAUGAAAAUGGAAGAGUACAUGGGAAGAACUUCAGAAGUUAAAUAAAAAAAGAGAGAAUGAGAAAAGUGACAUCCGGCAAUGAGAAUCCCAUCAAUUCAUAAGCUAUGUUGUUUAAUAAAGGCAUCUCUCUACCUUACUUUUGUUUUAAAAAAAAUCGUGUGAUAAUAUAGGAAAAUUAAGCUCAGGCCUGGAGCCAGAGCUCGGUGUAAAGGGCUUGCCUUGUGUGCAUGGGGCCCUAGUUUCAGUGCUCAGCACUGCCAUAAAUAAAGUGAGCAGGACGCAGGAAAAAAGAAA
RNA transcript from Mus musculus (house mouse), 2828 nucleotides. It is a transcript of the gene named cell wall biogenesis 43 C-terminal homolog, with no coding region annotated. The transcript has 17 exons. The record is from RefSeq and is marked validated. Lineage: Eukaryota; Metazoa; Chordata; Mammalia; Rodentia; Muridae.